This 76-nucleotide ribosomal RNA is filed under the name Tetranychus evansi (red spider mite). Its description in RNAcentral is "partial 5.8S ribosomal RNA". The record is from RNAcentral. Lineage: Eukaryota; Metazoa; Arthropoda; Arachnida; Trombidiformes; Tetranychidae.
AGGACACGCCGAGCACUUGAGCUUCUAACGCACAUUGCGGCUUUCGGGUCUUUUCCGAGGUCACAUCUGUCUGAGA